RNAcentral lists this ribosomal RNA (383 nucleotides) under uncultured eukaryote. RNAcentral's name for it is "partial 18S ribosomal RNA". It matches the Rfam family "Eukaryotic small subunit ribosomal RNA", at positions 592 to 976 of the family's 1831-position model. The record is from RNAcentral.
CAAUAGCGUAUAUUAAAGUUGUUGCAGUUAAAAAGCUCGUAGUUGGAUUUCUGGUAGGAGUGACCGUUCCGAACUUGAUUGUUCGUGUAUUGUGUUUUCUCCAGCCAUCCUUGUGGAGAACUUUUCUUGCAUUAAUUUGUAGGGAUUGGGACCCGCAUCGUUUACUGUGAAAAAAUUAGAGUGUUUAAAGCAGGCAAUCGCUUGAAUACAUUAGCAUGGAAUAAUAAGAUAGGACUUUGGUACUAUUUUGUUGGUUUGCAUACCAAAUUAAUGAUCAACAGGAACAGUUUGAGGAUAUUCGUAUGAACAUGUCAGAGGUGAAAUUCUUGGAUUUUGAGCAGACGAACUACUGCGAAAGCAUUUAUCAAGGAUGUUUUCAUUAA